This 264-nucleotide unclassified non-coding RNA is filed under the name Hevea brasiliensis (rubber tree). The record is from RNAcentral. Lineage: Eukaryota; Viridiplantae; Streptophyta; Magnoliopsida; Malpighiales; Euphorbiaceae.
AAUUGAGUUAUAAUCAUCUCCCCUCACAUUUGAAGCAAUGCUUUGCCUAUUGUGGAUUAUUUCCAAAAGAUUACAAAAUUAAUGUACAAACAUUGAUACAUGUUUGGAUGGCACAAGGAUAUAUCGUGUUAUCAGAUCCUUCCCAAUGCUUUGAAGAGAUUGGUCUUGCAUACUUUAUGGAUCUUCUUUCGAGGUCUUUUUUUCAAGAAGUUGAAAAUGACAGUUGGGGAAACAUAGAAUCUUGUAAAAUGCAUGAUUUGAUGC